UAAGCUUUCACGAGGUCUAUAACGCUGAA
This 29-nucleotide non-coding RNA is filed under the name Bombyx mori (domestic silkworm). Lineage: Eukaryota; Metazoa; Arthropoda; Insecta; Lepidoptera; Bombycidae. The record is from RNAcentral.